GUGCCAGCCGCCGCGGUAAUACGGAGGGUGCGAGCGUUAAUCAGAAUUACUGGGCGUAAAGAGCUCGUAGGCGGUUGUUUAAGUCAGAUGUGAAAUCCCUGGGCUUAACCUAGGAACUGCAUUUGAAACUAAAAGACUAGAGUAUCGUAGAGGGAGGUAGAAUUCUAGGUGUAGCGGUGAAAUGCGUAGAUAUCUGGAGGAAUACCUGUGGCGAAAGCGGCCUCCUAAACGAAUACUGACGCUGAGGUGCGAAAGCAUGGGGAGCAAACAGGAUUAGAUACCCUGUAGUUCC
Molecule: ribosomal RNA, 292 nt
Filed under: Buchnera aphidicola (Prociphilus erigeronensis)
Lineage: Bacteria; Pseudomonadati; Pseudomonadota; Gammaproteobacteria; Enterobacterales; Erwiniaceae
Description: partial 16S ribosomal RNA
Rfam family: Bacterial small subunit ribosomal RNA
Source: RNAcentral